UACAGAGGGGGCAAGCGUUAUUCGGAAUUAUUGGGCGUAAAGGGCUCGUAGGCGGUUCGUCACGUCGGGAGUGAAAACUCGGAGCUCAACUCCGAGCCUGCUUCCGAUACGGGCAGACUAGAGGUAGGCAGGGGAGAGCGGAACUCCUGGUGUAGCGGUGGAAUGUGCAGAUAUCAGGAAGAACACCGGUGGCGAAGGCGGCUCUCUGGGCCUUACCUGACGCUGAGGAGCGAAAGCGUGGGGAGCGAACAGG
RNAcentral lists this ribosomal RNA (253 nucleotides) under uncultured bacterium. RNAcentral's name for it is "partial 16S ribosomal RNA". It matches the Rfam family "Bacterial small subunit ribosomal RNA", at positions 524 to 776 of the family's 1533-position model. The record is from RNAcentral.